CCAGGUGGCUGCUGCUCUGCUGCUAAGUCACUUCAGUCGUGUCCAACUCUGUGUGACCCCAGAGACGGCAGCCCAGGAGGCCCCCCCACCGUCCCUGGGAUUCUCCAGGACAUGUCAGAAUUAUGGCACACCUGUUUUCCCUAGUGUGAAAGCCUCUCUGCUGCUGCUGCUGCUAAGUCACUUCAGUCAUGUCCGACUCUGUGCGACCCCAUAGACGGCAGCCCACCAGGCUCCCCCGUCCCUGGGAUUCUCCAGGCAAGAAC
This is a long non-coding RNA of Bos taurus (domestic cattle), 263 nucleotides long. Lineage: Eukaryota; Metazoa; Chordata; Mammalia; Artiodactyla; Bovidae. The record is from Ensembl.